AACGAACGUUAGCGGCGCGCCUAACACAUGCAAGUCGCACGAGAAAGGGGGCAACUCCCGGUAAAGUGGCGCACGGGUGAGUAACACGUAGGUAAUCUGCCCUCGAGUGGGGGAUAACCUUCCGAAAGGAGGGCUAAUACCGCAUGAGACCACGGAGUCGAGAGGCUCUGAGGUCAAAGCCGGCCUCUUCUUGAAAGCUGGCGCUUGAGGAUGAACCUGCGGCCCAUCAGCUAGUUGGUAGGGUAACGGCCUACCAAGGCAAAGACGGGUAGCUGGUCUGAGAGGAUGAUCAGCCACACUGGAACUGAGACACGGUCCAGACUCCUACGGGAGGCAGCAGUGGGGAAUCUUGCGCAAUGGGCGAAAGCCUGACGCAGCGACGCCGCGUGGGUGAUGAAGGCCUCGGUUGUAAGUACCCUCGUGGAGGGGGACGGAAGUAAGUACGGUAGGCGAAC
Molecule: ribosomal RNA, 455 nt
Filed under: uncultured bacterium
Lineage: Bacteria
Description: bacterial SSU rRNA
Rfam family: Bacterial small subunit ribosomal RNA
Source: RNAcentral